GACGAACGCUGGCGGCGUGCUUAACACAUGCCAGUCGAACGGAAAGGCCCUGCUUUUGUGGGGUGCUCGAGUGGCGAACGGGUGAGUAACACGUGAGUAACCUGCCCUUGACUUUGGGAUAACUUCAGGAAACUGGGGCUAAUACCGGAUAGGAGCUCCUGCUGCAUGGUGGGGGUUGGAAAGUUUCGGCGGUUGGGGAUGGACUCGCGGCUUAUCGGCUUGUUGGUGGGGUAGUGGAUUACCAAGGCUUUGACGGGUAGCCGGCCUGAGAGGGUGACCGGCGACAUUGGGCCUGAGAUACGGCCCAGAAGCCUACGGGAGGCAGCAGUGGGGAAUAUUGCACAAUGGGCGGAAGCCUGAUGCAGCGACGCCGCGUGCGGGAUGACGUCCUUCGGGGUGUAAACCGCUUUCGCCUGUGACGAAGCGUGAGUGACGGUAAUGGGUAAAGAAGCACCGGCUAACUACGUG
RNAcentral lists this ribosomal RNA (468 nucleotides) under uncultured bacterium. Its description in RNAcentral is "partial 16S ribosomal RNA". It matches the Rfam family "Bacterial small subunit ribosomal RNA", at positions 28 to 507 of the family's 1533-position model. The record is from RNAcentral.